CCUACGGGAGGCAGCAGUGAGGAAUAUUGGUCAAUGGGCGUAAGCCUGAACCAGCCAAGUCGCGUGAGGGAUGAAGGUUCUAUGGAUCGUAAACCUCUUUGAUAAGGGAAUAAAGUGUGGGACGUGUCCCGUUCUGUAUGUACCUUAUGAAUAAGGAUCGGUUAACUCCGUGCCAGCAGCCGCGGUAAUACGGAGGAUCCGAGCGUUAUCCGGAUUUAUUGGGUUUAAAGGGUGCGAAGGCGGCCUUUUAAGUCGGCGGUGAAAGUCUGUGGCUAAACCAUAGAAGUGCCGUUGAAACUGGCAGGCUUGAAUAUGUAUGAGGCAGGCGGAAUGCGUGGUGUAGCGGUGAAAUGCUUAGAUAUCACGCAGAACCCCGAUUGCGAAGGCAGCCUGCCAAGCCAUGACUGACGCUGAUGCACGAAAGCGUGGGGAUCAAACAGGAUUAGAUACCCGAGUAGUC
This 460-nucleotide ribosomal RNA is filed under the name uncultured bacterium. Its description in RNAcentral is "partial 16S ribosomal RNA". It matches the Rfam family "Bacterial small subunit ribosomal RNA", at positions 338 to 795 of the family's 1533-position model. The record is from RNAcentral.